UUUUGAGGAGAUGAUCAAAGAGGGUACAACCAAAAUAGUUGCCAGGCCAUACAACAGGCAGUCUUCCAGAUUGACCCCAGCCUGUAGGUGCCACCCCUCGUGUUGAGUUCGGACUGGAUUGGAAUCCUGGAGCUCCCCUAACCAGGUGGGCAGCCUUGGGCAAGUCAUACAGUCUGUGUGCCUCAAUGUCCGCCAAUAUGAAAUGGGGCAGUACUAGCACCUGUCUCACAUGGAUGCUAUUAACGUUAAAUGGUUACCGCACAUAUCACAGCCCUAAGUAGGAGCUUCUUAUUUUCCCGUCCAUGCGUAACUUACCUCCUUCUUAUGGUCAGUUGUCCAUUUCAUGAGAGGUACAGCCGUCCAGCACAGAGACCCCCACAAGUGACCCUGAGGCUCCCAAUGGUCUUGUCUUGGGCUCCCCGAAUGCCUUCCAAGAUGGGUUCAUAAGGGUUGCAUGCUGCUUUUGCCCCAGGAGACGAGAACCCCCAGGGCUCUGGCAGGACAGCAUCCUAGUUAGAUGAGCUGAAUGAGCUCUUUCUCAGCCGUUGAUCUGCUGUGCUGCUCGGGGUCAUCCGCAAUGUUCUAGGCAACGCACCACGGCUCCAAUUUAAC
This 612-nucleotide long non-coding RNA is filed under the name Homo sapiens (human). RNAcentral describes it as "non-protein coding lnc-MYLK4-17:1". Lineage: Eukaryota; Metazoa; Chordata; Mammalia; Primates; Hominidae. The record is from RNAcentral.